GUGGGGAAUUUUGGACAAUGGGCGCAAGCCUGAUCCAGCAAUGCCGCGUGCAGGAUGAAGGCCUUCGGGUUGUAAACUGCUUUUGUACGGAACGAAAAAGCUCUCUCUAAUACAGGGGGUGAAUGACGGUACCGUAAGAAGAAGCACCGGCUAACUACGUGCCGGCAGCCGCGGUAAUACGUAGGGUGCGAGCGUUAAUCGGAAUUACUGGGCGUAAAGCGUGCGCAGGCGGUUUUGUAAGACAGAUGUGAAAUCCCCGGGCUUAACCUGGGAACUGCGUUUGUGACUGCAAGGCUGGAGUACGGCAGAGGGGGGUGGAAUUCCACGUGUAGCAGUGAAAUGCGUAGAGAUGUGGAGGAACACCGAUGGCGAAGGCAGCCCCCUGGGCCUGUACUGACGCUCAUGCACGAAAGCGUGGGGAGCAAACA
RNAcentral lists this ribosomal RNA (428 nucleotides) under uncultured bacterium. Its description in RNAcentral is "bacterial SSU rRNA". It matches the Rfam family "Bacterial small subunit ribosomal RNA", at positions 354 to 774 of the family's 1533-position model. The record is from RNAcentral.